AGUGGCGAACGGGUGAGUAACACGUGGGUGACCUACCUUCGAGUGGGGGAUAACGUCCCGAAAGGGACGCUAAUACCGCAUGACAUCCUGCCUUUGAACAGGUGGAGAUCAAAGCCGGGGAUCGCAAGACCUGGCGCUUGAUGAGGGGCCCGCGUCUGAUUAGCUAGUUGGUGGGGUAAUGGCUCACCAAGGCGACGAUCAGUAUCCGGCCUGAGAGGGCGGACGGACACACUGGGACUGAGACACGGCCCAGACUCCUACGGGAGGCAGCAGUGGGGAAUUGUUCGCAAUGGGCGCAAGCCUGACGACGCAACGCCGCGUGGAGGAUGAAGGUCUUCGGAUUGUAAACUCCUGUUGCUCGGGACGAAUAGCUUCGACCUAAUACGUCGAAGUAUGACGGUACCGGGUGAGGAAGCCCCGGCUAACUCUGUGCCAGCAGCCGCGGUAAUACAGAGGGGGCAAGCGUUGUUCGGAAUUACUGGGCGUAAAGGGCGCGUAGGCGGCCUGCUAAGUCGAACGUGAAAUCCCCGGGCUCAACCCGGGAACUGCGUCCGAUACUGGUGGGCUUGAAUCCGGGAGAGGGAUGUGGAAUUCCAGGUGUAGCGGUGAAAUGCGUAGAUAUCUGGAGGAACACCGGUGGCGAAGGCGGCAUCCUGGACCGGUAUUGACGCUGAGGCGCGAAAGCCAGGGGAGCAAACGGGAUUAGAUACCCCGGUAGUCCUGGCCCUAAACGAUGAAUGCUUGG
This 745-nucleotide ribosomal RNA is filed under the name uncultured bacterium. RNAcentral's name for it is "bacterial SSU rRNA". It matches the Rfam family "Bacterial small subunit ribosomal RNA", at positions 94 to 820 of the family's 1533-position model. The record is from RNAcentral.